CUGAAGCAGAGGGGUACCUCACAAACCUACAGGGCAUGCAGCUAGGUGGAGAAAGGAAGGACAUAGUGUACAUAGGGAGACCCUGACACCGGAAGUGGGUGAAGCAAAUGUAGCCCUAGGUUGGAUACCAUUGAGGACCACACCAAGCAGGAAGCUGGGGAAGGAUUCAGUCUCCACACACCCUAUGGUUCUUGAGGAAGAAAAUACACAACAAGGAAGACCACCCAUAUACAAAACUAUUUAAAAAAUAAUACUUGAUAUUUUUUUCUCUCAUUGCAACAUUAUUCUGGCAAUGGUUGGUUGGAUUGAAA
This 311-nucleotide long non-coding RNA is filed under the name Fukomys damarensis (Damara mole-rat). RNAcentral's name for it is "lncRNA (ENSFDAG00000029910.1)". Lineage: Eukaryota; Metazoa; Chordata; Mammalia; Rodentia; Bathyergidae. The record is from RNAcentral.